This 253-nucleotide ribosomal RNA is filed under the name uncultured bacterium. RNAcentral's name for it is "partial 16S ribosomal RNA". It matches the Rfam family "Bacterial small subunit ribosomal RNA", at positions 524 to 776 of the family's 1533-position model. The record is from RNAcentral.
UACGGAGGGAGCUAGCGUUGUUCGGAAUUACUGGGCGUAAAGCGCGCGUAGGCGGCUUUGUAAGUUAGAGGUGAAAGCCUGGAGCUCAACUUCAGAAUUGCCUUUAAGACUGCAUCGCUUGAAUCCGGGAGAGGUGAGUGGAAUUCCGAGUGUAGAGGUGAAAUUCGUAGGUAUUCGGAAGAACACCAGUGGCGAAGGCGGCUCACUGGACCGGCAUUGACGCUGAGGUGCGAAAGCGUGGGGAGCAAACAGG